Molecule: transfer RNA, 78 nt
Filed under: Felis catus (domestic cat)
Lineage: Eukaryota; Metazoa; Chordata; Mammalia; Carnivora; Felidae
Rfam family: tRNA
About the family: Transfer RNA (tRNA) molecules are approximately 80 nucleotides in length. Their secondary structure includes four short double-helical elements and three loops (D, anti-codon, and T loops). Further hydrogen bonds mediate the characteristic L-shaped molecular structure. tRNAs have two regions of fundamental functional importance: the anti-codon, which is responsible for specific mRNA codon recognition, and the 3' end, to which the tRNAs corresponding amino acid is attached (by aminoacyl-tRNA synthetases). tRNAs cope with the degeneracy of the genetic code in two manners: having more than one tRNA (with a specific anti-codon) for a particular amino acid; and 'wobble' base-pairing, i.e. permitting non-standard base-pairing at the 3rd anti-codon position.
Source: Rfam by way of RNAcentral
GCCUGGGUGGCUCAGUCGGUUAAGCGUCCGACUUGGGCUCGGGUCAUGAUCUUUGUGGGUUCAAGCCCACAUUGGGUU